This 600-nucleotide ribosomal RNA is filed under the name Trichoderma longibrachiatum. RNAcentral's name for it is "eukaryotic LSU rRNA". It matches the Rfam family "Eukaryotic large subunit ribosomal RNA", at positions 121 to 744 of the family's 3401-position model. The record is from RNAcentral. Lineage: Eukaryota; Fungi; Ascomycota; Sordariomycetes; Hypocreales; Hypocreaceae.
UCUGGCCCUUACGGGUCCGAGUUGUAAUUUGUAGAGGAUGCUUUUGGCAAGGCGCCGCCCGAGUUCCCUGGAACGGGACGCCACAGAGGGUGAGAGCCCCGUCUGGCUGGCCGCCGAGCCUCUGUAAAGCUCCUUCGACGAGUCGAGUAGUUUGGGAAUGCUGCUCAAAAUGGGAGGUAUAUGUCUUCUAAAGCUAAAUAUUGGCCAGAGACCGAUAGCGCACAAGUAGAGUGAUCGAAAGAUGAAAAGCACCUUGAAAAGAGGGUUAAAUAGUACGUGAAAUUGUUGAAAGGGAAGCGCUUGUGACCAGACUUGGGCGCGGCGGAUCAUCCGGGGUUCUCCCCGGUGCACUUCGCCGCGUCCAGGCCAGCAUCAGUUCGUCGCGGGGGAAAAAGGCUUCGGGAACGUGGCUCCCUCGGGAGUGUUAUAGCCCGUUGCGUAAUACCCUGCGGUGGACUGAGGACCGCGCAUCUGCAAGGAUGCUGGCGUAAUGGUCACCAGCGACCCGUCUUGAAACACGGACCAAGGAGUCGUCUUCGUAUGCGAGUGUUCGGGUGUCAAACCCCUACGCGUAAUGAAAGUGAACGCAGGUGAGAGCUU